Molecule: ribosomal RNA, 651 nt
Filed under: uncultured Ruegeria sp.
Lineage: Bacteria; Pseudomonadati; Pseudomonadota; Alphaproteobacteria; Rhodobacterales; Roseobacteraceae
Description: bacterial SSU rRNA
Rfam family: Bacterial small subunit ribosomal RNA
Source: RNAcentral
UGCAGUCGAGCGCACCUUCGGGUGAGCGGCGGACGGGUUAGUAACGCGUGGGAAUAUACCCUUUGGUACGGAAUAGCCUCUGGAAACGGAGAGUAAUACCGUAUGAGCCCUUCGGGGGAAAGAUUUAUCGCCAAAGGAUUAGCCCGCGUUAGAUUAGGUAGUUGGUGGGGUAAUGGCCUACCAAGCCUACGAUCUAUAGCUGGUUUUAGAGGAUGAUCAGCAACACUGGGACUGAGACACGGCCCAGACUCCUACGGGAGGCAGCAGUGGGGAAUCUUGGACAAUGGGGGCAACCCUGAUCCAGCCAUGCCGCGUGAGUGAUGAAGGCCUUAGGGUCGUAAAGCUCUUUCGCCUGUGAAGAUAAUGACGGUAGCAGGUAAAGAAACCCCGGCUAACUCCGUGCCAGCAGCCGCGGUAAUACGGAGGGGGUUAGCGUUGUUCGGAAUUACUGGGCGUAAAGCGCACGUAGGCGGACUGGAAAGUUGGGGGUGAAAUCCCAGGGCUCAACCCUGGAACUGCCUCCAAAACUAUCAGUCUAGAGUUCGAGAGAGGUGAGUGGAAUUCCGAGUGUAGAGGUGAAAUUCGUAGAUAUUCGGAGGAACACCAGUGGCGAAGGCGGCUCACUGGCUCGAUACUGACGCUGAGGUGCGA